Molecule: long non-coding RNA, 1087 nt
Filed under: Gallus gallus (chicken)
Lineage: Eukaryota; Metazoa; Chordata; Aves; Galliformes; Phasianidae
Description: lncRNA (ENSGALG00010024422.1)
Source: RNAcentral
AACAGGUGUUCACCUCAGAGCUGAGGUGUGGCAGAAGCUGAGUGCUGUGAGGGAAAGGCGGCAGGCGGACUUCAAGCAGCCUCCGGGGACGCGUACAGGAAAGCAGAGUUUUGGUGAUGCUACUCAGUACAGUUGGAGGCAUUACUUCUGGAGCAGCCCUUGUAUAUGGCUAUUACAUUGUUAUAUCACAAUGCCUUUGGAAAAGCUAUUAGCUGAGCCUGGUGUUGUGUUGGAUACUGUGUGUGUGUGUAUAUAUAUAUAUACAUGUUAGUGUGUAUAUUUAUGUAAAUAGUAACUAAGCAUUAGCUACUUUGUUCUGUGUAAGAACGUGAUAGCAGGGACUGUCUUCUCAUUGUGGACACUUGAUAUAUAGCAGUAAUUGCUGUCUCUUGUUAUUGCACAAGCCAUCCACAGUCAACGUACAUAGGAAAUACAGUAGCUGUUUUAUACGUAAGGAGCUCAAAAUGCCAAAUGCAGUGAAAAGAAUAUAACUUUUUUUUUACACUGCAGUGAAUUACUGUUAGCACAGGGCCAGUCUUUGCACUGAUGGAGAUUAUGUAAACGUUCAGAGAUUCAUUAUCACUUUGUUAAGCAUUUCCAUCCACAUAUGAAUCUUGUUACAAAGGGGACAAGAAAUGAAUACAGCUGUUUUGCAAUGAGCCCACCUGGCACUUUUGCUGUGACAUUGUGCCAGCCAUACUCUCAAUAUACUUUACAGGUGUUUCAUACUUUCCUCUCUUCAUGCUUGAGGAGAGGGAAAUCUCACUGUCAGACUUACCAUCUGCUCUUGGUGUUAUCUUGACUGGUUUUAUGGCUCAGGAGGGAGCAUUGCUCCUUCAAUGAGUUAUGAAUCUCUAAUGCAGUUCAUUGUAUUGUUGUGAGGUUUUAUGGAAUCUGCCUGGUGGCCGUUCUGUUCUUGUCUUGGAGAUUCGGUUAUCUUUCUAAGGACGCAUGACUGUAUGUGUGCCGAGACUUCAGUAAAUAAACCACAGAGCCUCAUCACUGGGAUAGUCUUUACAAACGUUUUGUGAUCUCUCAUGAUCCAUAAACUUGCAUACUGUAAAAUAAAGCUUUCCUAUGAGUGAUC